CAGUAGCCGCGGUAAAACGAGGGGGGCAAGCGUUGUUCGGAAUUAUUGGGCGUAAAGGGUGCGUAGGCGGUUUGACAAGUCUUAUGUGAAAUCUUCGGGCUCAACCCGAAGCCUGCAUGGGAAACUGUCGAGCUUGAGUAUGGGAGAGGUGAGUGGAAUUUCCGGUGUAGCGGUGAAAUGCGUAGAUAUCGGAAGGAACACCUGUGGCGAAAGCGGCUCACUGGACCAUUACUGACGCUGAUGCACGAAAGCUAGGGGAGCAAACAGGAUUAGAUACCCGUGUAGUCCCUGUCUCUUAUAC
Molecule: ribosomal RNA, 301 nt
Filed under: uncultured bacterium
Lineage: Bacteria
Description: partial 16S ribosomal RNA
Rfam family: Bacterial small subunit ribosomal RNA
Source: RNAcentral